UAUGGCAUCUAUUUGGUAAUUAAGAAAACUAUUUGGCCUUAUAGCCAAUUUUCAUAACUUAUAGUUGAGAUAGGAAUUGACGUGUAUAUCGUCAAUUCACAAUCCUCCUUUGGCAGCCACGUUUCUUCUCUUCACCCCAGCUCUUCUCUCACCGUCUCUCUCUUUCUCUCUAUCUUCCUCCCUCUCUCUCUAUAUUCCUCUCUUCCUCUAUCGGCUCUUGGGCUGGAAUUGCAGAAAUUUUACAGCAAAACUCGAGUAAUAUGAGAGGAUUCUUAAUUCACCAAGUUUAGGUUUGAAGAAUUGAAAUAUUUAAAGAAGAAAGCCCCAAAUUAAUUAUUCAAUGGAAGUGGCGUCUGAUUGGGAGGUGCCGUUGGAAAUCUCAAGAUGCAGCUUCCUUGUGGUGAUGGAUUUCACCGGCGAUGACGCGCGGUGGUGGUCGGAAAGGGUCGAAGAAGACGAGCAGUCCAGAACCCGAAUUUCAGCGGUUGGUCGUUCAAAGAAUUAAUUGAACGGAGGCCUUAAGGGUAGAAUCUCGAAGAUCAGGUCCCAUCAUUAGAAACCUUACGAUGUUACCUUUCUGUUGGUGGUGAAGCUCGAUGGCUUGCACCGACGUUGGUCACCGGAGUUUGGUGAGAAGUCGGCCUGCUCGCUGCGAUUUUGGGGAAGCAAAAUCUGCUGCCGCACCUGUUUUCGGAGCCGAAAUCGAAGGGUUUCGAAUGCGAAUUUGGAAUCGGUUCCUUCAGGAAACUCGUAGACGACAUCGUAAACUAUAAGUAAGUGUUCAAUUGUAUCGAAUUAGAAUAUUAAAUAUACGUGUUUUAGAGGUCGGAAUCCGAUAACAGUAAUCUGCCGGAAACAGGGCAGUUUUGAGUAUCUUCUUGCGGGACUGUUUUCGAUAUGUUGGGAUCAUAAUUUGGGCUGUGCGUCUUCAUGAAACUUGUAGAUUAAACUUCCAGGUUUCAUUUGAUGUAUUAUUUGGACAAUUUGGAUAACUGUACAAUGUUUUAUGAUUUUUCAAACGGGCUGUGACAGUAAACGAAAUUAUCCGAAAAUCCGGC
RNAcentral lists this long non-coding RNA (1058 nucleotides) under Erythranthe guttata (spotted monkey flower). Its description in RNAcentral is "long non-coding RNA (EGUT_LNC001290)". Lineage: Eukaryota; Viridiplantae; Streptophyta; Magnoliopsida; Lamiales; Phrymaceae. The record is from RNAcentral.